AGAGUUUGAUCCUAGCUCAGGAUGAACGCUGGCGGCAUGCCUAAUACAUGCAAGUCGAACGAGGGUCCUUCGGGACUCGAGUGGCGAACGGGUGAGUAACACGUAGGGAACCUGCCCGUGCGACCGGGAGAACUUUCGGAAACGGAAGCUGAUACCGGAUAGGGACAGAGACGGCAUCGACUCUGUGUUAAAGGAGCUGAAAGGCUCCGCGCACGGAUGGACCUGCGGUGCAUUAGCUAGUUGGUGAGGUAACGGCCCACCAAGGCGACGAUGCAUAGCCGGCCUGAGAGGGCGGACGGCCACACUGGGACUGAGACACGGCCCAGACUCCUACGGGAGGCAGCAGUAGGGAAUUUUCGUCAAUGGGCGCAAGCCUGAACGAGCAAUGCCGCGUGAACGAGGAAGGUCUUCGGAUCGUAAAGUUCUGUUGAAGGGGAAAAAGAGCGGAGAGAGGAAAUGAACUCCGAUUGAUAUUACCCUUCGAGGAAGUCACGGCUAACUACGUGCCAGCAGCCGCGGUAAUACGUAGGUGGCGAGCGUUAUCCGGAAUGAUUGGGCGUAAAGGGUGCGUAGGCGGCCUGCUAAGUCUGGAGUGAAAGGUACCGGCUCAACCGGUACAGGCUCUGGAAACUGGCGGGCUAGAGAGCAGGAGAGGGCGGUGGAACUCCAUGUGUAGCGGUAAAAUGCGUAGAUAUAUGGAAGAACACCAGUGGCGAAGGCGGCCGCCUGGCCUGUUACUGACGCUGAGGCACGAAAGCGUGGGGAGCAAAUAGGAUUAGAUACCCUAGUAGUCCACGCCGUAAACGAUGAGGACCAAGUGUUGGGGGAAGACCCAGUGCUGCAGUUAACGCAGUGAGUCCUCCGCCUGGGGAGUAUGCACGCAAGUGUGAAACUCAAAGGAAUUGACGGGGGCCCGCACAAGCGGUGGAGUAUGUGGUUUAAUUCGAAGCAACGCGAAGAACCUUACCAGGCCUUGACAUAGGGUGCGAAGCUAUGGAGACAUAGUGGAGGUAAACAUCCAUACAGGUGGUGCAUGGUUGUCGUCAGCUCGUGUCGUGAGAUGUUCAGUUAAGUCUGGCAACGAGCGCAACCCUCGUGAUGUGUUACCAAUAUCGAGUUAGGGACUCACAUCAGACUGCCGGUGAGAAACCGGAGGAAGGCGGGGAGGACGUCAAAUCAUCAUGCCCCUUAUGGCCUGGGCUACACACGUACUACAAUGGCGGCGACAGAGGGCAGCGAGCCUGCGAAGGCAAGCGAAUCCCCAAAAAGCCGUCCCAGUUCGGAUUGGAGUCUGCAACCCGACUCCAUGAAGUUGGAAUCGCUAGUAAUCGCGGAUCAGCAUGCCGCGGUGAAUACGUUCUCGGGCCUUGCACACACCGCCCGUCAA
This 1387-nucleotide ribosomal RNA is filed under the name uncultured bacterium. RNAcentral's name for it is "bacterial SSU rRNA". It matches the Rfam family "Bacterial small subunit ribosomal RNA". The record is from RNAcentral.